This is a non-coding RNA of Agelaius phoeniceus (red-winged blackbird), 3600 nucleotides long. The record is from RefSeq and is a predicted model, not a curated record. NCBI's taxonomy places the organism in Eukaryota, Metazoa, Chordata, Aves, Passeriformes, Icteridae.
GUGGGAAGGGCUGGGAAUCGUCCGUCGGCUCCUCCCUCGUCGGGGCCGAGAGGCGGGGACUGAGCGCGGCCCGGCCGGGACGGGACGGAGCGGCGGGGCCCAACGCGGUGCAGCGAUGUCGGCGUUCUCGGAGGCGGCGCUGGAGCGGAAGCUGUCGGAGCUGAGCAACUCGCAGCAGAGCGUGCAGACCCUGAGCCUGUGGCUCAUCCACCACCGCAAGCACUCGGCGCUCAUCGUUAGCGUGUGGGAGCGGGAGCUGCGCAAAGCAAAACCGAAUAGGAAGCUGACAUUCCUGUACUUGGCCAAUGAUGUCAUACAGAACAGCAAAAGGAAAGGACCAGAAUUUACAAAAGACUUUGCUCCAGUAAUAGUGGAGGCUUUUAAGCAUGUUUCAAGUGAGUCUGAUGAGAGUUGUAAGAAACACCUUGGCCGAGUGCUGUCUAUCUGGGAAGAAAGGUCUGUUUAUGAAAAUGAUGUAUUAGAACAACUUAGGCAAGCUUUGUAUGGAGACAGAAAGGUGAGGAAGCGCACAUAUGAACAGAUCAAAGUUGAUGAAAAUAACUGUUCACCUCGAAGUUCUCCCACUGAUCCUCCUCAGACCACAGAUCUCAUUAGAGCAUUACAAGAACUAGAAAAUGCUGCCUCUGGGGAUGCAGCAGUUCACCAGAGAAUAGCUUCCUUGCCUAUAGAGGUCCAGGAUGUGUCCCUGUUAGACAGAAUAACAGAUAAGGAAUCUGGAGAGCAACUUUCCAAAAUGGUAGAUGAUGCAUGUAUGUUGCUGGCGGAUUACAAUGGCAGGUUGGCAGCUGAAAUAGAUGAUAGAAAACAGCUAACUCGAAUGUUAUCAGACUUUCUCCGAUGUCAAAAAGAGUUCCUUGCAGAGAAAGAACAUAAGCUGGAAGUGCGUAAUAUUUUGUUUUAGUCUCUUCUUCACUAAAGCUUGUUCUUGCAAAUGUUUUUAGUUAGCCUGAAAAACUUUUCUCUCCAGAGACAGAUAUUUUUUUGCCACUGUUAUGUCUUUGCUUCCAGCACAUUAGUAACCCAUUGUUUGAUUCUAGUGUUCUAAACCUACUAAACCAGCUCUUUCUGCUUUUCAGUCUUGGUUAUACCUACAAACUUAGUUUUAGUAGUGCAGAUAGAAAGUCUUAUCCCUGGUGCUAUGAACUUAAUUCUUCAUAGUGUCAUUUUCUUUCCAUGCUCUUUUCAUUCAUUGUUGUAAGUCUUAGUUAUGUAUUUGCUAAAGGAUAAGAAUUUAAUUCCAGCUUUCAGCACAAGUUUUUAACCUGCCUCAAGCAUCCAUUAAACAGAGGGAAAUGUACCUAGCGCUUCUACAGCCUCUAACACAGCUGGUUAUCAGCACUAGCACCAGCAUGACUAGACAGAUCAUAAUAAAAGAGUGAUGCAGGAUGAGCAGCUCAUUAUUAGCAAAUGAUCCCUUAAGUUACUCUUUUCUUUGCUAUUACCAAUCACCUGUUUUUCUUUCCUACCAUGUACUACUGUAAAGCCUUCUGUGGAAAAUGCCACAUAUUUAGAAUAUGUCCAUAAUUUCAUGUCAGUGGCUUCCCAGUGCUAACCUUGGCUAUUACAAUAAUAGAAUUGAAGCUGCAUCAUUCUGCAAAGGGAGAUGCCUGAACAGUCAUGAUGCCCUGUAACUGCAGCAUAUGCAUAUAUGGUCCAAGCAUUAAUUAAUCUUCAGGUUUCAUUGUAUAUACCUGUGAAAAACAUUUUCUUUCCCUAGUGGUUUCUUUACCUUUAGCUUCAUAACUUGGAUUCAGAUUUUGUUUUUUUUUUUUUUCUGGAAAAUGCUGUUCGUAAUGUAUUUGAAGUCAUCAUUCAGAUCAGUUGUGUCAUUCCUAGCCUACUCUUAUUUCCUGACUUACUUCCUUUCCUCUAUGCCUCACAGAAAAUCAAUUGAUGAAGGUUCUUCCUUUCAACCUUACUGUGUUUAUCCUGUGGGAAGAAUAUCAACCAGCUUCAUGUAAGAUAGAUGGCAUGCACAGUAGUGCUGAUUUCAGUAGCAACCGAUCCAACUGCAUAAUGGAACCUGGAAGAUUAAAGAACAGGAAGCCUUAAGCUUUUCAUCACAUGCCCUACCUUCCCCCUGCCUGUGUAAUGGGUUUGAAGGACAAGUUCCUGUAAUUUCAUUGAAGGACUGGUUGUCUAGAGGCACUGACUUGUUUAUGUAGCUCAUUACCAGCAGUUACAUCCUGUGUAGGUAUGGUAGACUGCCAGGAUAGUGAGUUGCUCAAAAGGCAGUGACCUGGUCCUUCAGACAGAUUUACCCUUCUGUAAAACAAGAGAGCUCAGUUGAAAAGAAAUUAGAAAUAGUAGCACAGCUGUGAACAGAUUCCACCCUUGUUGGUUGUUUUCAACAAAUACAAACCAGUGUAAUUUCCCAAUAUUUCUAGAUCAGAGAAUUCAUAAUUCUGAGAGAAAGCAAUUGCAUAUUACUGGGCUGUUAUGGUCCUUCACAUGGUUUCUUGGCUGAAUUAUUUAGACUGCUAAAGAAUUUAAUUCUAAUAUAGCAGAGUUUCAUUUUUGGACUAAUUUGAGGUAUUUCUUUAAAAAGUAGGAGACAGUCUCAGUGUCUGUAGCAGCUUGUUUUAAACUGGUGAAGUUCUAGGGUGUUGAAUUACACUGUAAGAAUGUUUUUAGGCUGAUUAGUGUGGCAUAAAUAUGAUUUCCUAAUACAGAACUACGAGUCAGGAUGGUGUUAACCCAGUUACUAAUAAAGACCUUUGAGCCAAGAGAUUAAAAAAAACAAGAACCUUAAAAUGGAGUUUCUAAACUAGUGAUGAGUAAAGUGACUUCAUGCUCACUAUCAGUAGUGCUUUUUAGUUUGGGAAGUAGAGGCUGAUAAACAUUCUGAAGUUUUGAAAUGUAAGAUUAGGAUGUCUUAGUGAUAUUGUGUGUAGGGCUUGCUGACUUAGCAGAUGUAGGAUUUAUUUUGGUGAUUAAGAAAUGGAGAUGAAGCAAGGAGUCCCUGUUCUUACAGAUUUGGGAAAUUCCAUGGCUCAAAUUGAACCUUGCUUCUUGGCUUCUCAUUUGAAAUAGAACUGGGAGAGGGCCUUUCGUGUAAUUCUUUGAGCAUGUAUUUCCCUGAACUGUCUGUCCCUAGGAUUUGCUGUUCAAGUUUGAUUUUUGGUGAAAUUAAUUUGUUCAAACAAGCUUGUUUCUUGUGUUAGACUUCUGGCUAUUGAUACUUCCCCAAGUAAAACAUGAUCCCUGGGUUGUAAUAGAAAGUCUUUAUUUCUUCCUGAAUUACUAUCACCAAUCUGUGAGUAUAAUGCUGAGAUCCUACCUUACUGAUUCCUUACCAUACCAAACAGGUAUAGUGAGGAACAAGUGGAUGUAUUCUUAGUUGAAUCUAGAAAUGUUACCUGCUGUUAACCUUGUUUAACUAUUUGAAUUGGAAUUCCCAAGGAAUUGUCAGUAGCUUUCAGCAUUAGAUAGAAGCUUUAGACCUAAAUUUGCAGAUCUUUUAUCUUCUAAAGAUAAUUUACAGCUUCUGUUGCAGGUGGUGGACAUGGACCUAUCUUCUAAUGAUGUCACCAUCCAUUAGUAAACACAUCCUGCUAAAAAUAAAUCUAAGAAUCAAAA